CAGUAGCCGCGGGAAUACGUAGGGUGCAAGCGUUAAUCGGAAUUACUGGGAGUAAAGCGUGCGCAGGCGGUUAUAUAAGACAGAUGUGAAAUCCCCGGGCUCAACCUGGGAACUGCAUUUGUGACUGUAUAGCUAGAGUACGGCAGAGGGGGAUGGAAUUCCGCGUGUAGCAGUGAAAUGCGUAGAUAUGCGGAGGAACACCGAUGGCGAAGGCAAUCCCCUGGGCCUGUACUGACGCUCAUGCACGAAAGCGUGGGGAGCAAACAGGAUUAGAUACCCCAGUAGUCCCUGUCUCUUAUAC
Molecule: ribosomal RNA, 301 nt
Filed under: uncultured bacterium
Lineage: Bacteria
Description: partial 16S ribosomal RNA
Rfam family: Bacterial small subunit ribosomal RNA
Source: RNAcentral